CCUACGGGUGGCAGCAGUGGGGAAUCUUGGUCAAUGGGCGCAAGCCUGACCCAGCAAAGCCGCGUGAAGGAAGAAGGCGUUCGGGUUGUAAACUUCUUUUGUCAGGGACGAAGCAAGUGACGGUACCUGACGAAUAAGCCACGGCUAACUACGUGCCACCAGCCGCGGGAAUACGUAGGUGGCAAGAGUUAUCCGGAUUUAUUGGGUGUAAAGGGCGGGUAGGCGGGAAUGCAAGUCAGAUGUGAAAACUAUGGGCUCAACCCAUAGCCUGCAUUUGAAACUGUAUUUCUUGAGUGCUGGAGAGGCAAUCGGAAGUCCGUGUGUAGCGGUGAAAUGCGUAGAUAUAAGGAGGAACACCAGUGGCGAAGGCGAC
This 373-nucleotide ribosomal RNA is filed under the name uncultured bacterium. RNAcentral's name for it is "partial 16S ribosomal RNA". It matches the Rfam family "Bacterial small subunit ribosomal RNA", at positions 338 to 725 of the family's 1533-position model. The record is from RNAcentral.